AGUCUGUUGGAUUACUUUGUGAAAAUGUUCUUGCUAUUCAGGGUGCUUAAAAAGUUUUGGAAAUAAAUAGUGGUGAUGGUUGUACAACAUUGUGAAUAUAAUGCUACUGAAUUGUACACUUGAAAAUGCUUAAAAUGGCAGAUUCCUUGUUGUAUAUAUUUUACCACAAUAAAAUUUUUUAGAAGUUCUUAAUUAUAUUGAGGUAAAAUCUACUUUCCUGUAAUAAGUAACCAUUCCUGUUUUUCUUAAUUAUGUCUUUUAGAGUCAUUCAGAUCAAAUCUGCUCCACUUUUCACCGAGGAUAUCUUUGAUCAGAUUAAGAAUCCUACCACUCUUGACAGUGGUGCCAACAAAUCUUGCAGACUGAUGUUUGAGUUCAGCUUCUUUCCCUAGAUAUCCCAAAUGAGAAGAAGGUGAACUCAUUUGAGGGACGGGGGGCAUCAUAGCAGUAAAGAGUACAAAUGUGCAAACUUUCUUCACUAUAAGCAAAAUUUCUAAAGAUAAUUGCAGUUGAGAUCCCAGUAUGGAAAAAACUAUAUGCUCUACUUUCUUCAAGAGGUGGUGAAGACACAAUUCCUGCUUUCCAAGAGCUCAUUCUAGUAGGGACUACAGAUAUGUAAGUAAUUAACCAUUCUACAUGAGAGAAAGACUUAUAUAAAGAGGUAUGAGGAACACACAGGAAGAUGUAAAUAAUUCUACCUGAAGAGAUCACAUCUGAAUGGCUUUGAAAGUUGAAUAAAAUUUCUCCAGAUAGACAACGGACUAGUGGAGGGUAGGGCAGGAGAUUGAACAGUCCAGGCAGAGGGAAUAGCAUAUAUAAAAGCACAGCAGUAUGAAAGUACAUGUUUUAAAUGGCAAAUCUUAUGCUAUGACUUGAAUGUAUGCUACAUGGAGUGGAACUGGCAGAGAAUAACUUAGAAUGGGAGGCUGGGCCUAAGUUGUAAAGAUCCUUGAAAGCCAAGCAGAGCAAAAAGAUCAGGUAAUAUGGCGGACUGGGGCUCAGUACACUGAGUCUUUGAGCCCCUGGAUUUUAAGGAUAGUAUUUUAGGCCUUCAGAGUUCUCUAUUUAGUUGGAAUCAGAG
Long non-coding RNA from Trichechus manatus latirostris (Florida manatee), 1081 nucleotides. RefSeq lists it as uncharacterized. Lineage: Eukaryota; Metazoa; Chordata; Mammalia; Sirenia; Trichechidae. The record is from RefSeq and is a predicted model, not a curated record. The transcript is spliced from 3 exons.